GCAUCAAUGUUGACUAUCUUUACACAAAUCUAUAUGUUUAUUUCUAAUGUUAUCGGCCAAGGUAAGCCUUACACAUUUUCUGAUGAUGGGUCAUCGGCAGACUUAACAAGCGGCUCUGCCCCCUCUUCAUUUGGCUUGGGAGAGAUGUGCGCUUUCUCGGCGGGAUAUAAUAUAUAAUGUUGAAACAUGAAAAGGAGGUCGAAGAAUACAGAGACCAAAGACAGCAAUGUCUUCCCUAUGUUGCCAUAAAAGUUCACCCAAGAAUUUUGGUCUAUAGACUGAACAGCCAUUUGGGCAUAAUUUGCUAUGCCUCCAAGAAAGUCAAGCAAAAUGUUCCCAAUGCUGAAGCCGUCAGUGCUCUUUCGCAUGAAGUUCAUUACUGCCUGGGGAAUAUACUUGAUGACUGUCAUAAAAACUUGAAUUGA
RNAcentral lists this unclassified non-coding RNA (425 nucleotides) under Hevea brasiliensis (rubber tree). Lineage: Eukaryota; Viridiplantae; Streptophyta; Magnoliopsida; Malpighiales; Euphorbiaceae. The record is from RNAcentral.